ACUCCUACGGGAGGCAGCAGUGGGGAAUAUUGCACAAUGGGCGAAAGCCUGAUGCAGCGACGCCGCGUGAGGGACGACGGCCUUCGGGUUGUAAACCUCUUUCAGUAGGGAACAAGGCAUCAUUUUUGUGGUGUUGAGGGUACUUGCAGAAGAAGCACCGGCUAACUACGUGCCAGCAGCCGCGGUAAUACGUAGGGUGCAAGCGUUAUCCGGAAUUAUUGGGCGUAAAGAGCUCGUAGGCGGUUUGUCGCGUCUGUCGUGAAAGUCCGGGGCUCAACUCCGGAUCUGCGGUGGGUACGGGCAGACUAGAGUGAUGUAGGGGAGACUGGAAUUCCUGGUGUAGCGGUGGAAUGCGCAGAUAUCAGGAGGAACACCGAUGGCGAAGGCAGGUCUCUGGGCAUUAACUGACGCUGAGGAGCGAAAGCAUGGGGAGCGAACAGGAUUAGAUACCCUGGUAGGAUAGC
Molecule: ribosomal RNA, 464 nt
Filed under: uncultured bacterium
Lineage: Bacteria
Description: bacterial SSU rRNA
Rfam family: Bacterial small subunit ribosomal RNA
Source: RNAcentral